Molecule: small RNA, 520 nt
Filed under: Pan troglodytes (chimpanzee)
Lineage: Eukaryota; Metazoa; Chordata; Mammalia; Primates; Hominidae
Description: processed transcript
Source: RNAcentral
GGUACCGCCUCACUCCCACGCGCCCCCCAGCGCUGCGGUGCUAGACAGCUGAGAGAACAGACACAGACCUGUCGGAGGGUCCUCUGCAGGUCCCCCUUCCGCUCUGCCGAUCGACUUCCGCCUCGGGCAGUCAACAUACUGCCAAGGAAAUCUGAUGUGGAAAGGAAAAUAGAAAUAGUGCAGUUUGCUAGCCGGACACGCCAACUCUUCGUUCGAUUAUUAGCUUUAGUGAAAUGGGCUAAUAAUGCUGGCAAAGUGGAAAAAUGUGCGAUGAUUUCAAGCUUUUUAGAUCAGCAAGCCAUCCUGUUUGUGGACACUGCUGAUCGCCUGGCCUCGUUAGCUAGAGAUGCUCUGGUCCAUGCACGCCUGCCUAGUUUUGCCAUCCCAUAUGCCAUUGAUGUACUAACUACUGGAUCUUACCCACGGCUGCCAACCUGCAUUAGGGAUAAAAUUAUUCCUCCAGACCCAAUUACCAAAAUUGAAAAACAAGCCACACUCCAUCAGCUGAAUCAGAUUCUUA